AUGUCUUACACCCAUGAUUUGGAGGCUGCUAAACUGGAGAUUCAAGGGAAGACACAGGAGCUCAGUUACGCACAGUCUCGUUGUCAUGAACUUGAAUCACAGUUACUUCAGGAAAGGGAGAAGGUCGAGUCUCUAGAAGCCGAAUUAGCCAAAGAAAAACAGAGCUUAGAACAUAGAACUGAAGAAGUAGGCUUUCUUCAGAAGGAGCUUGUUCAGAAAGAAAAUGAGUGCACCAAAUCACAAGAACUUGUUAAAGUAAAAGAGUUUGAGCUGUUAGAAGCCAGACAGGAAGUCCAAGACAUGAAGUUAAAGGUAGAGUCUAUUCAAUUGGCUGUUCAAGAAAAGGAUUCAGAGCUUUCUGAUACACAGAGCAGACUAACUGAAGUCAGCAGUGAAAUUGCUGAGCUUCAGCAGUUGCUAAAUAGCAAGAAGGAUCAACUGCUUCAGGCUAGAACUGAAUUACAUGAUAAAGAGCAACAUAUAGAAACACUGGAGAGUGAGUUGGAUAGCAUACGGCUCAGAUGCUCGCAAGCUGAAUCCAUGGUUCAAAGGAUGGCUGAUCUCACUGGCGAUCUUGCUAGUUCCGUAAAAGCCGGAGAAAUGGACAUCUAUGCAUUACUGGAUGAUGAAAUUUCAAGCACAGGUACAGCCCUCGAGUCCAAUUUGCAUAAGCAUAAUCAACUGGAGGCUGACAUAGAGAUGUUAAGAGAAUGCUUGCGGCAUAAGGACAUGGAGUUGAGAGCUGCUCAUGAAGCACUUGAUGCCAAAGAUCAAGAGCUGAAGGCAGUACUUAGAAAGUGGGAUGUGAAGGAGCGGGAAGUACGUGAGUUAGAAGAGUUACCGGAUCCCAGUGCCACAAAUGAACUUGCUGGUUUUUCCAGUGAGACAACAGAGGACGGCAUUGUAGGAGAGAUGGAGCUCCCAGAGCUUCAAAUUGAAGCUGUGGAGGUCGAAGCACUUGCUGCUACGACUGCAUUGAGGAAGCUUGCGGAUAUGACUAAGGAUUUCUUCAAACACGGCAAAGCUGAUUCUGGUAUUGACUUGGUUGCAUCAGAGAGUCAGAAAAUCAGUAAAUGUGAUCCUAAAAUGGAAGUACACAAGAAGACGGAUGUGAUUCUUGAAGCUGAAAAAGAAAUAGUUAGGCUCUUCUCAUUGACAAAACAGAUUGUCACUGAUGACAUAAUAAACGAUGUUGAGGAAUGA
RNAcentral lists this ribosomal RNA (1203 nucleotides) under Triticum aestivum (bread wheat). Its description in RNAcentral is "partial small subunit ribosomal RNA". The record is from RNAcentral. Lineage: Eukaryota; Viridiplantae; Streptophyta; Magnoliopsida; Poales; Poaceae.